This 44082-nucleotide long non-coding RNA is filed under the name Lactuca sativa (garden lettuce). RNAcentral describes it as "long non-coding RNA (LSAT_LNC000686)". The record is from RNAcentral. Lineage: Eukaryota; Viridiplantae; Streptophyta; Magnoliopsida; Asterales; Asteraceae.
AUAAAUAUAGCCUGAUCAACUAUAUUUAUCCUGGAUUUGACCAAUGUACGUCGAGGAAUGGUCAUAGUGGACAACAAGUCAAAAACUUACCAAAUAAAAUUUUUAGACUCGCAAAUUUGAAAUACUAUAGGAGUAUUGUUAUAAAAUAAUAAGACAAUGAAAAACUUGCACACCAUAAGAUAUAGUUAAACUUAGGAUGCCGUUAAAUAGAAAUUUCCUUUCUUAUAAAAUUCUCAUACCUCUAUCCUAGUACAGACAAAUGGCCGGAUUCCAUUUACCGGGAGAUCCUUACUACCCAAACCAAGGCAACGGCGGAUGGAUAGAAGAAGACCCGGAAAAAGACCCGGAGGAAAUCGAAGAAGAAGUCGAAGUUGAAGUCGGAGAGGAAUUCGAAGUCGACGAGGAGGUCGAGGAGGAAGAAGAAGCUACCGAUGGAACAGACUCUGAGCGGGAAGUAAUCAACCCUCCUGCUCCCUGUCAUCCCUAAGUCCGAAUAGGUUACCAACCUCCCAUUCCCAUUUGGGGAAGCCACCUCUACUAUUGGAGCCGUCAACAAGGUGUACGCCCUCCCUUCGGCAUGUGUCGGGAGUUUUACAAUGUCAGUGGUGGAGGCUCAGCCGAUCGAGUGCUUCCCGUCCUUGUGGGCCAAAUAGCCACCCAGACCUACCAGUCAGACAAGCAAGCGGCCAGAAUCCGUGAGGUCAAUGCUGCUGCACAGGGUAACGCCGCAGACAUCCGUCGUCUGGACGGACUACACGAAAGUACGCAACUCCACACAGGGACGCUUCAGAAGCAAAUGGUGACAGCACUGGUAGAAAUAAGAGAGAUGAAGGAACAACAAGCAGUUCUUGAAAGGCGCCUAAUGGGAGUCAAGCAGUCGGAUGCCGAGUCUAGCUCCAAACGCACAAUACACCGCAAGUAGAACUUGCUCAACUCCAACAAUUUUGAUAUAGAAUAGGACCUCGGAUAAAGUUUUACUUAUUUCCUUUGAACUUGUAAUCGGAGACCUCUAGAUAGGUCAAGUUUUCCUAAACACGAAGCAUGAUGUAACGCACCGUAUGUGUGACAUAUAUAUAAAUAUGAAGUACUUCUUUACAUACCUCUCAAAACUUAUGGGAUUAUCUAAAUUGUUAUAUCUACUUUGAAAGCAAAAACUAAAGUCAAAACAAAUUACAAGAUACAACUAACCCUCUAGUACACGAUUGUCAAAUCAUUAGAAACUUAUAGUGUUCAUUAUUAUUUCUCUACCAGAAUAUGCCUCCUUGUAGGUCAGCACGCAGAAACUUGGCUCCAACACCACCUCUACCGCCCCCUCCAACUAUGGAUGCAGCUAUGUUCCAAAUUGUUGUAACAGCCGCUGUAACCGCAGCGGUGGUUCAAAUGAGCAACAACGGGUCAGGAGGAGGAAUAAACAGCUUUACAAAUGGCCAAAGCCAAGGCCGUUCCGGGGUAUGUACUUACAAAGAAUUCACCAACAGAAAACCUAUUCCCUUUUAUGGGACUGGGGGAGUGAUGGCUCUAUCCCAAUGGAUAGAGAAAACGGAAGUUGUAUUCGAAAUUGCGCUUGCCCGAAAGAAAGCAAAGUAAAAUUUGCCGCUUUUACUUUCUGCGAAAGAGCCCUAACGUGGUGGAACGGCCACGUCAAGGCACUAACCCUAGUGGUGGCGAACUACAUGGGUUGGGAAAACCUGAAACGAAUGCUCCUACAAAAGUACUGCCCAUGAGGCGAGAUUCAGAAGCUCGAACAGUAACUAUGGGGCCUUACGAUGGUAGGAUCGGACAUCGUAGGCUAUACCAACAAAUUCAGUGACUAGAUAAUACUUUGCCCAGGGAUGUUGGUCCUGGAAAACCAAAAGGUGGAGAGGUACAUCUGGGGACUAUCACCCCAACUUUGAGGGAGUGUGUUAGCCUCCAAACCCAUGACCUUCGACAGCGCCAAGGAACUGGCGCAAUCUCUCGUUGAUCAUGGUGUCUGUCAAGGCGUCACGGCAAUCGUCGCUGAACCAACCAAAGGGAACAAUAACAACGAUAACAAUGCCAACAACAACAGCAAGAAGAAAUUCUGGAACAAGAGAAAGGGGCAAACUUUGCUAGAACCUUCAAAGAAACAAAUGGUGGCGGUUCAUGCCACUACUGCUCCCACUACAACUGCUGCUACCCCUGCGCCAACAGAACAAUAUGUUGGGAACCUGCCAAAGUGCAGCAAAUGCAACUACCAUCACCACGGUAAUUGCCGUGAAAUGCACUGUUAAAACUGCGACAGGAAAGGGCACACUACUCGUUUCUGUAAGGCACCGGCGCGACCAAUCACUCAAGUUCCUUCCUGGUAUUGGGAUAAGCCAGGCAUGUUAUGGGUGUGGAGAAACUAGGCACUUCAAGAGGGAUUGCCCCAAGGCAAAGAAUGUUGGCAGCGUCGGGAGAGUGCUGGCGAUAGGUCAAAAUGAAGCAAUAGCUGACCCCACGGUGGUUAUGGGUACGUUUCUCCUCGAAAACAUUUAUGCAUGCAUACUCUUUGACUGCAGUGUGGAGAGAAGUUUUGUGAGUCAUAAAUUCAAACUCCUACUUAAUCAAAAACCCCAACCACUCAAUAACAUAUUCACUGUAGAAAUGGAAAACGGUAAAAACGGAAAGCGCAAGCGAUAUGUGUUGGGUUUUGAGCAAUCUAACACUUCCUAAGUGUGCAUGCAACCCUAAUAAACCUUGGAUCUAUGUUUGUCUAAAUACAUGCAAAAUAAUAAUUUUCCAAGGUUUAUAAGCUAUCUAACAUGGCAUGGGGAACAUUUCAACAUAAAAGAGUUAGAAGAGAUUACAUACCUUUGUUGUGUUGGGUUCUUAGGAGUUUGAGGGCCAAGCACCAAUAGUGUGAAUGCCUCAAAUGGAAUCACAAACACCACAAACUCUUGGAAAACUUUGAGAGAGUAUACACACUCUUGUAUUUUCGGCCACACACAUGCACACACACACUAGAACACUAGCUUUCUCUUAGGCUAUCUUAGGCACUUUUUCAUGCUCCAUAAGCAUGCUUAUAUAGUAUGCAUGGUUAGGGUGAAACCCUAAUAACCCAUGUCUUUUCCUAUUCCAAGGAUCCAUGGGUUAAAAGCUCCAUGGAUCAUCCAUGGACUUCCACAUAAGCCUAGCCCAUUAACAAAUGAGUAUUAGCCCACACUAUAUAAAACAAAUAGCCCAUAAUUUAAUUAGUAUUCCUUUUAAUCUCUAAAUUAAUCCAUAAUUAAUUUAAGACUAAAACUAAUUAAAUAACGUAACUUCAUAUUAAUAUAUUAUAACUCAUAAUAUAUUAAUAAACAUAUGUGUAUAACUCUCAUAAAAUUAUCCAUAAUAGUUUGGAUGAGAUGCAACCCAAAUGGACCAUGCCGGUCGGGUCAAGUAUAUACCAAAUAAGUUAUGGACUUAGACACCUUAUCCAACAGACUCCCACUUGGAUAAGUCUAAUAACUAUAUUUGCCUAUAACUUCAGGAACCAACCAACAAUCGUAGCUCUCGAAAACUCCCUCGAACAAUGAAGACUCUGUCGAACUAUGAAGCGCCAUUUUAGAUAAGUGAUCACAUAAUCCUCUGUUCUCAUGAUAUCAGCCGGACAAACACAUGGAACUAUGUCUUGCUUAUUGUCUAGCAGUUGUUUCUCGAUUAUCCGAUUUGUUUGACGAAGAACUUCACUGAACACAUCGGUUUAGUUCUGACCAGGCCUGGUAUAUGGGUCAACACAAAAUCAUCGAGGGGCCCGGAUAUCGCUUCUAUUUCUAGAAGGAACAGAUAAACUUCGACUGAUAUGCUUGUUCUACUACUUAUUGAAUUGUACACAAAGGCACGUUUUAUAACAUCAAGUUACUGAUGCGUUUACGUGCAAUCAAUGCACAACCAACUCAUAGGUAACAACUCAUAUCUCUAGGUUUAAAGAUUUAUAUGAUGUUAUCGUCUCACGAUCACUCGAGAUAAAUUCCAUGAAGUGAUACAAGUGAGCGUGGGUUUAUACCAAUACUCAUAACUUAUGAGUACUCAUGAAUGUUGCAGCAACCAUUGCCAUGCCUAAACACCUUUAAGGCAUCUACAAACCCAAUUCAUGACAAUCUUGAUUCAUACCUACUUCCGACGUAUGAUCGAUUGUGGAGGUUUGAACAAAUUAAUUAUUCUGGAAGUCAAAACAUGCAAAACUGAAACAAUAGUAAAUAAUUGACAAUGAUAGUAACACUUUACUCAUAAAUAAAUCACAAAUUUUAUUCAUCAUCAAACGUCGAUUACAUUUUACAAGUUUCAGGAAAACUAUCUAAUCUGUAAAACUAAUAUCGUCCCUCAGCCCGAUGCGUCUCGCAUGCUGAAAAUGCUUAACCCUCGUCAGUCCCUUCGUAAGGGGAUCUGCAGGAUUCUCAUCUGACGAUAUCCUCCUUGUCACAAGGAGUCCUUCUUCAAUCUUGUGCCUUAUGAAGUGAUAUUUUCUGUCAAUGUGUCGGGAUCUGCCAUGAUCUCUUGGUUCCUUGGCUAAGAUAACCGCAGCAUUGUUGUCACAGAAAAUCUCUAUAGGUUCCUUAAUAGCUGGUACAACUCCAAGGUCUCCGAUGAAGUUCUUUAGCCAUAUCGCCUCCUUCGCUGCUUCACUCGCUGCUAUAUACUCUGAUUCACAAGUCGAAUCAGCCACCGUCUCCUGCUUGGAACUCUUCCAAGAAAUUGCCCCUCCAUUUAAGGUAAAGAUCCAGCCCGACUGAGAGCGGAAAUUAUCCCUAUCAGUCUGAAAACCAGCAUCACUAUACCCUAAUAUUCUCAAGUCAUCACUGCCACCAAGGGUAAGGACCCAAUCCUUAGUCCUCCGCAGGUACUUGAGAAUGUUCUUUACCGCGGUCCAAUGAGCCUUGCCAGGGUUCCCCUGAUACCUGCUGACCAUGCUCAAAGCAAAUGCCACAUCAGGACGGGUACAAGUCAUAGCAUACAUGAUCGAGCCAACUGCGGAAGCAUAUGGUAAUUGGCUCAUCUCAGCUAUCUCAGCCUCUGUACUCGGACUCUGAGUCUUACUCAGUUUGGUAUUGCUUUGGAUCGGUAAAUCUCCUUUCUUGGAAUUCUCCAUGUUGAACCUUUUCAACACCUUAUCCAAGUAGAUACUCUGACUAAGUCCAAUUAGUCUUCUACUCCUUUCUCUUAAUAUCCUUAUCCCUAGGAUAUAGGUAGCCUCCCCUAGGUCCUUCAUAGCAAAGCACUUCCCAAGCCAGGACUUAACCUCCUGCAAGGUUGGGAUGUCAUUUCCUAUGAGUAGUAUGUCAUCCACAUACAGUACCAAGAAGCUAACUAUACUCCCACUAGCUCUGACAUACACGCAAGACUCAUCUUCGCUUCUCAAGAAGCCAAACUCUUUUACCUUCUCAUCAAAACAAAGAUUCCAGCUACGAGAUGCUUGUUUUAAUCCAUAAAUGGAUUUCUUAAGCUUGCAUACUCUAUUAGGGUACUCUGCAUUGACAAAACCCUCUGGCUGAUUCAUGUACACAUCCUCAGCCAACUUUCCAUUAAGGAAAGCGGUUUUGACAUCCAUUUGCCAUAUUUCAUAAUCAUGAAAUGCUGCAAUGGCUAACAUAACCCUAAUAGACUUAAUCUUGGCCACCGGCGAGAAGGUUUCAUCAUAAUCAAUACCUUGAGUUUGAGUAAAACCCUUCGCAACCAGUCGAGCCUUAUAAGUAUGCACUUUUCCUUCCAUGUCGGUCUUCUUUUUGAAGAUCCAUUUGCACCCGACUGUUUUACGGCCUGGUACAUUGUCAACCAAGUUCCAAACUUGAUUGUCAUACAUGGACUGUAUCUCGCUGUCCAUAGCCUCCUUCCAUUUAGCAGACUCCGGGCCUGCCAUGGCUUCCUUAACACUGCUAGGUUCAUCCAAAUUUACUAGUGUACUAUCACUAAUAAACGUAUCACCUUCCGUAGUAAUAUGAAAACCAUAAUAAAACGAAGGUGUGUUCCUAACCCGUGUGGAACGUCUCGGAGGUACAGACUCGUCAGCUGGAUCAACAGGAGUUUCUUCCUCAGGUUGAUUGCUAGUGUCUGAGGUUCCUUCACCAAUUGAUUCUUGAAUUUCUUCAAGAUCAAUCUGCCUCCCACUGUCUCCUUGGCUUAUAAAUUCUUUCUCGCGAAAGAUCCCUCUUCGUGCUACAAAGACCACAUUCUCACUGGGUCUGUAGAAAAGGUAACCGAAGGAUUUCUGUGGGUAGCCGAUGAAAAUACACCUUUCACUUCGGGGUUCAAGCUUAUCAUGAGUUUCACGCCUCACGAAGGCUUCGCAACCCCAAAUUUUGAUGUGGUCCAAAUUGGGAACCUUCCCAGUCCACAUUUCAUGAGGUGUUUUGGUAACCUUCUUUGUAGGGACUAGAUUAAGGAUAUGGGCGGCAGUCUCUAAGGCAUACCCCCAAAAAGAGAUUGGUAACGAAACUCGACUCAUCAUAGAGCGAACCAUGUCCAACAAGGUACGAUUACGCCUCUCAGCUACACCAUUCAGCUGUGGUGUCCUGGGAGGAGUCAAUUGUGAGACAAUCCCACACUCCUUAAGAUAGUCAAGGAACUCGGUACUAAGAUACUCACCACCUCGAUCGGAUCGAAGCAUCUUAAUGUUCCUGCCCAAUUGAUUUUCUACUUCCUGUUUGAAUUCCUUAAACCUUUCAAAGGUUUCGGACUUGUGUUUGAUCAAGUAGACAUACCCAUAUCUACUAUAAUCAUCAAUAAAAGUCACAUAAUACCGAUUAGCGUCCCUUGUGGCGGUUUUGAAUGGCCCACAUACAUCAGUAUGUAUUAGGUCCAACAAACCUUCACCCCUCUCACAAGUUCCAGUGAAGGGUGAUUUUGUCAUUUUUCCAAGUAGACAAGAUUCACAACUAUCAUCUGAUUUGAGGUCAAAUGAUUCCAAGACUCCACUCUUUUGGAGUUGGUCUAUGCGUUUCUUGUUUACAUGUCCAAGACGACAAUGCCACAAUGAUGCUUUAUCUAGGCUAGUAGAAGAAUCAAUAUACAACACAUUAUUUCCUAAGUUGUCUACAAUCGACACAGUUUCAUACACGCCAUCACAAGGUAAUGCUUUAAAAUAAAACACAUUAUUAAAGAAAGCAUUAAUACCACCACAUUCAUUAUCAAACGAAAAGGUAAAACCUUGUUUGUACAAAGCAUGAAAAGAAAUAAUAUUCCUCGCCAUUUCAGACGAGUAUACACAUUUAUUCAAAUCUAAUUUUAACCCAUUAUUAAGCAACAAAGUAUAAACUCCAAUCUUGGAAACAGGUGAAGCCUUCCUAUUCCCCAUGAUUAAGUUUAUCUUCCCGUGCUCCACAUCCUCACUUCUUCUUAGGCCCUGCAAAUCAGAACAUAUGUGAAUACCACAUCCUGUAUCAAGCACCCAAGAGUUAGAAUAUGUUGAGUAAUUAGACAAUAUAGUGUAAAUACCUGCAUAGGUGGGUUUCACUUUCCCAUCCUUUAGAUCCUGCAAGUACUUAGGGCAGUUUCGCUUCCAGUGUGCCUUUUCAUGGCAAUAAAAGCAUUCAGCAUCCUUUGGAAUGGCAGAAGGAGUGACAGAACCGUUCUUAGUCUUGGAUGAGGAGCCUUCAAGAGACUUUCCCUUGGUACCCUUCGAAGGGUGCUUCCUCUUUUUCCCUUUGCCUUGCCCAAUAGCUAAAACAGGGGUAGAAGUUGGAGUAGGAGUAGUAGAGGUAACAACCGCUUUACCCUUAAGACCGGUUUCAGCGGUCUUCAAGAGUCCUUGAAGCUUGCUGAGGGUAACUUCCUCCUUGUUCAUAUGAUAUGUCAUUCGAAAAUGAUCAUAACAAGAAGGCAAGGAGUGCAAAAUGAUGUCAAUUGCUAACUCCUCGGGGAUGUUAACAUUCAGCUUCAGCAAACGGUCCACAUACCUUUGCAUCUUUUGCAUGUGGCCCGUGACGGAUUCACCGUCCUUCAUGCGGGUAGUUAUUAUGGAGGAGAUUAUUUCAUACCGCUCCUGACGAGCACUCUGAUGGUACCUUUCCAUCAAGUCUUGGUGCAUCUCAAAAGGGUAGAAAUCUUCAUAUGACUUUUGGAGCUCGGCUGUCAUCGUGGCCAUCAUGAUACAUGCCACCUUAGUAGCAUCUCUCUCAUGAGUCCUGAAUUCAGCGAUCUCCUCAGGAGUAGCAGUAGACUCAUCAAGUUCUUUUAACUCCUUAUCGAGGACAUAUUCCUUGUCCUCGUAACGAGUAACCAUCCUGAUGUUCCUAAUCCAAUCCAUGAAGUUGGAACCAUCAAAGAUGACCCUCCCACAAAGAUUCAUGAGAGAGAAAGAACCAGUUGGGUUAGAGCCUGAAGCAUUAGUGUUGGAAGACAUCUGAAAGAAGAAAGUAAGUUUAGAUUAGAUAUUUAGGAUCCUUAAUAAGACACCCAAAUGUAAUAUUAAGGCUAGGAUCCAAUCACAAUAUAUUACACUUAGAAGAGGGAUGCCGUAAUCUAAGUAAUAAUAUAUUUGAAAGGUAGGCGAAUGACGAUUCACCAAUUUCCACCAUGAAAACGAAAUGAUUAAUUAGGUUUAAUUGGAUUUGAAAUUCCUAGAUUCUUUUGAGAUUCAUUGAACUUUUCAAUGGCAUGUUUCAAUCUCGAUUGUGCCCUUCAAGUUUUGUGACUGGGAUGCCGAGGAUCACAAAACAAGGUGUGAAUAACCAUGCUAACUCACUUGGUACUCCUAAUAUUAUCACCUAAUCAAUGUGCCGGUUAACCACACACGCUCCAUUGAUCUAUGACAACAUUAAGUUACCCUUCGUGAUCCUUACUAGUCUAAUUAGUGUGCCGGUUAACCACACACGCUCCACUAACGACUUGGUAAGGUACAAAGUGUGAAUUCCAUGGAUUAGCACCAUGUUCACAUUUUCCUAAAAUAACUAAGAUUGGGAAUUAAAAGAGUUUAGUUAUUUUAUAAUAUUCAUUAUACUUUUAAUGAGGAUUUAAAGUCGUUGUUCUACCCGUUCGGCUAACGACCCUCCACCGAUCAAGCAAGCGGUGGGUGAGAGUAUACACCCAUUAAGUCGCCAUUUUAUAGGCAACAACCUUAUACCCACCUUAUAGACCGGCUUCGUGAAUGAGGCCUACUAACGGUAAAACGACUUAUUCUUAUACAUAUAUAUAAUAAUUAACCAUUAAUGUUAUAAAUAGUAUAAGGGUUGAAUUUUAACUAUUAAAACUCUAAGGUUUGGAAUUAAAGUUUAUUAAAGUGUGUGAAACUUUACAAAUUCCAAAACUUGAGGACAAGUUUUGUAACUUUGCAAAACUCUUCAUUUCAUAACUUAUGAAUUAAAGGUUCAUAAAAAUGAAGACUCUUCAUUUUCAUGUAACUUAUGUGUUUUAAGUGUGUGUUAAAUGAAAGUGACCUUUGGUAAUCCAUAACUUGAGGACAAAUUAUGGACUCCAUUAAAACACAUAAAUGAUUAAGAAUUAAUUCUAAACAAUUCAGCAAAUAAUUCCUAUCAUUUUCUAAAUUCAUAAGAACAUGAACAUGAUCAUCAAAAAUUCAAGAAUUAUAUGAACACAUAAAAUCAUGGAUUUUUGAUAUAUGCUAUUGUAAAUGGAUUAGAACAACCAUUACACCAACUAAAAUAAGUUUUACAACACCAAAACAAUUUAGGGUAAUGUUUCCAGUCCAUUUCCAGCAGCAAAAGUCGAGAUUCUGCAUUCUUUCGAUCCUACUCGCCGAGUGCACGAACGGACUCGUCGAGUAGGUUGAAGUUUGCCUUGGACUCGGCGAGUCCCCCCAAUGGACUCGGCGAGUCUAGCAUGCAGACAGCAACGAUUUCGACUUUUUUCACUAUUUUGCAUCAAGUAUCAAACAAGCAAGCCUAGGCUCUGAUACCACUGUUGGGUUUUGAGCAAUCUAACACUUCCUAAGUGUGCAUGCAACCCUAAUAAACCUUGGAUCUAUGUUUGUCUAAAUACAUGCAAAAUAAUAAUUUUCCAAGGUUUAUAACCUAUCUAACAUGGCAUGGGGAACAUUUCAACAUAAAAGAGUUAGAAGAGAUUACAUACCUUUGUUGUGUUGGGUUCUUAGGAGUUUGAGGGCCAAGCACCAAUAGUGUGAAUGCCUCAAAUGGAAUCACAAACACCACAAACUCUUGGAAAACUUUGAGAGAGUAUACACACUCUUGUAUUUUCGGCCACACACAUGCACACACACACUAGAACACUAGCUUUCUCUUAGGCUAUCUUAGGCUCUCUUUCAUGCUCCAUAAGCAUGCUUAUAUAGUAUGCAUGGUUAGGGUGAAACCCUAAUAACCCAUGUCUUUUCCUAUUCCAAGGAUCCAUGGGUUAAAAGCUCCAUGGAUCAUCCAUGGACUUCCACAUAAGCCUAGCCCAUUAACAAAUGAGUAUUAGCCCACACUAUAUAAAACAAAUAGCCCAUAAUUUAAUUAGUAUUCCUUUUAAUCUCUAAAUUAAUCCAUAAUUAAUUUAAGACUAAAACUAAUUAAAUAACGUAACUUCAUAUUAAUAUAUUAUAACUCAUAAUAUAUUAAUAAACAUAUGUGUAUAACUCUCAUAAAAUUAUCCAUAAUAGUUUGGAUGAGAUGCAACCCAAAUGGACCAUGCCGGUCGGGUCAAGUAUAUACCAAAUAAGUUAUGGACUUAGACACCUUAUCCAACAGACUCCCACUUGGAUAAGUCUAAUAACUAUAUUUGCCUAUAACUUCANGACCUUAUGCCCAUUUCGAUAAGAAGUUUUGAUGUCAUCAUCGGUAUGGACUGGUUAAGUCUUCACCAUGCCGAUAUACUUUCUCACGAAAGGGCCGUUCACCUCAAUCUGCCAAAUGGCGGAACUCUUGUCAUCUAUGGUGACAAACCUAGUACGAAUUUACAAAUCAUCUCCUGUGUUAAAGCACGAAAAUAUCUUCGCAAGGAGUAUCAUGCCUUUCUAGCUCAUGUAGUAGACCAGAAACAAGAACCGAAGAACAUUAAAGACACUCCAGAAGUCUACAACUUCCCAGACAUUUUCCCAGAAGAUCUUCCAGGAAUCCCACCAGAACGUCAAGUCGAGUUUAGAAUCGACUUAAUCCCCGGAGCUACUCUAGUAGCAAAGUCGCCUUACCGUUUAGCCCCAGCGGAGAUGCAGGAACUGUCUAGUCAAUUGAACGAGCUACUGAGCAAGGGUUUCAUCAGACCGAGCUUCUCACCAUGGGGAGCACUGCUCCUAUUCGUGAAGAAGAAGGACGGAUCUUUUCGCAUGUGCAUCGAUUACCGGGAGCUGAACAAACUCACGAUCAAGAACCGAUAUCCCCAACCGCGCAUAGAUGAUCUGUUCGACCAACUACAAGGAGCGAGCUACUUCUCAAAGAUCGAUCUAAGAUCUGGUCAUCACCAACUGCGAGUGCUGGAAGGAGACAUCCCCAAAACGGCAUUUCGAACAAGCUAUGGUCACUACGAGUUUGUAGUGAUGCCCUUUGGAUUGACAAAUGCAUCAGCAGUGUUCAUGGACUUGAUGAACCGGGUAUGUCGUCCCUUCCUGGAUAAAUUUGUGAUCGUGUUCAUAGAUGAUAUACUCAUCUAUUCAAGAAGAAAGGAAGAACACGGCCAACACCUCUUCCAAGUCUUGGAAACAUUGAGGGAAGAAAAACUAUACGCAAAAUUUUCAAAGUGUGAAUUUUGGAUUCGGGAAGUAGAUUUCCUAGGUCACGUAGUAAGCAAAGAAGGGAUACACGUGGAUCCUUCUAAGAUCAAAGCAAUAGAGAAUUGGACGACUCCGAGAACCCCAACAGAAAUCCGGCAAUUUUUGGGACUCGCCGGGUAUUACCGAAGGUUUAUACAAAACUUUUCGAAGAUUGCUAAGCCACUUACCACCUUAACUCAGAAGAGUAUGACCUUCGACUGGGGAGAAAAACAAGACAUCACGUUUCAAACACUAAAGCGAGCCUUAUGUAGUGCGCCCAUUCUAACCUUACUAGAAGGAACGGAGGACUUCGUGGUCUAUUGUGAUGCGUCAAACCAAGGACUUGGGUGUGUUCUGAUGCAACGAGGGAAGGUCAUCGCCUACGCCUCAAGACAACUAAAGACGCACGAAGUAAACUACACAACGCAUCAUCUCGAGCUAGGAGCAGUGAUUUUCGCUCUAAAGAUAUGGAGGCACUAUCUCUACAGCACAAAAUGUACAAUCUUCACCAAUCAUAAAAGCCUCCGGCACAUCCUCAACCAGAAAGAACUUAACAUGAGACAAAGACGGUGGGUAGAACUACUAAAUGAUUACGAAUGCGAAAUUCGAUAUCAUCCCAGAAAGGCUAACGUCGUGGCCGAUGCACUCAGCCGGAAGGAAUACUCGGGCCGUAGAGUGAAGUCUCUAACCAUGACAAUCCAUUUACACCUGUCCACGCAAAUCAAGGAAGCCCAAAUAGAAUCCUUAAAAUCCAAAAAUGUAGCAGGGGAAGCCUUAAGGGGAAUGGAUAAGAAGCUUGAAGUCAAGAAUGAUGGAGUUCGUUACUUCAUGGAUCGGAUCUGGACACCGAAGUUUGGCGGAUUCAGAGAAGUCAUCAUGAACGAAGCCUAUAAUACACGAUACUCCAUACAUCCUGGCUCCGAUAAGAUGUAUCUCAACCUCAAGAAACUGUACUGGUGGCCGAACAUGAAAGCCGAAAUUGCUACCUAUGUGAGCAAAUGUCUGACGUGCGCCAAAGUCAAGGUAGAACACCAAAAGCCCUCAGGAUUGCUGCAACAACCAGAAAUACCCGAAUGGAAGUGGGAACGGAUAACCAUGGAUUUCAUAACCAAAUUACCCAAGACGACAAGCAGACUCGACACCAUCUGGGUGAUCGUUGAUAGGUUAACUAAAUCAGCGCACUUCCUGCCAAUCAAAGAAAUGGAUAAAUUGGAGAAACUAACUAGAACAUACCUCAGAGAGAUCGUACGAUUGCAUGGUGUGACCAUAUCCAUUAUCUCGGACCGAGAUAGUAGAUUCACCUCAAGAUUCUGGCAGUUGCUACAAAAAUCUCUAGGAACAUGACUAGACAUGAGUGUUGCUUAUCACCCACAAACUGACGGCCAGAGUGAGAGAACCAUACAAACCCUAAAGGAUAUGUUGAGAUCUUGCGUAAUCGAUUUUGGCAAAGCAUGGGACACCCAUCUACCCUUGGUCGAGUUCUCGUACAACAAUAGCUACCACACUAGUAUCAAGGCUGCCCCGUUCGAAGCCCUCUACGGCCGAAAUGCAGAUCACCUCUACGCUGGGCUGAAGUGGGGGACACACAACUAGCAAAAGGGCAAGCAACAGACAACACGCUCACCGGGCCAGAAAUCAUAAGAGAUACUACGGAGAAGAUUGUUUAAAUCUGGGAACGACUGAAAGCAUCAAGGGACAGACAAAAGAGUUACGCGGAUAAAAGACGGAAACCCUUGGAAUUCCAGGUUGGAGACCGUGUCCUACUAAAAGUCUCGCCCUAGAAAGGAUUAAUACGCUUCAGAAAGCAUGGGAAACUGAACCCAAGAUACAUUGGACCAUUCGAGAUCCUUGCUAGGAUCGGUCCGAUGGCUUACAAACUUCGAUUACCUCAGGAACUCCACAACGUACACCCUACCUUUCACGUAUCAAACCUAAAGAAGUGCUUGUCCGAUCAGACCCUUGUCAUCCCUCUAGACGAAAUUACAAUAAAUGAGAAUCUCCAAUUCAUAGAAGAACCAGUAGAGAUCAUGGAUCGGUAAAUAAAAAGGACUAAACAAAGCCGCAUACCUAUUGUAAAGGUCCGCUGGAACGUCAAGCGAGGACCUGAAUACACCUGGGAACGCGUGGAUCAGAUGAAACAAAAGUACCCGUAUCUCUUCCGUAACCCGUAAACGCAGUCUUAGAUUAAAUUUCCGGAUGAAAUUCCCCUAACGGGGGAUGAUGUGACAACCCUAUAUUUUUCCAAAAGCAAUAUAACACUCAAAAGUCAAAUACAACGAAAACUAUUUGGAAUCAACGAAAUUAACCUCAAAAAUAAAGUGUUCAAAUAUCUAAAUUGGGAUGCAUCAAAUGUUAGAUAUCGUGCCAAGGUUUCCAAAAACAUAAAGAACAUUCGAAACCGGGUUAUAUUGAAGAAAGUAUAACCACUCAAAUAUUUACGACACACCUAGUAAAACACUAUUUAACGUAAAAAGGUGAAAUAACAAUAAAAUGCAUUUUAGCCUUAAGUAUCUAAACAAAAGUUGCAGAGUUCGUUAAACUGUAAACGUACAUAAAAAGAUCGCCCAAAUUGGACCUCGUAUGAAGAAGUUACGAAUUUUUUAAGUCUCAUAACAGUAGUAGAGGGCUAAAAACUCGAAUUGAAGAUCGAGCGAUCUUUAGCUAACGCAACCUAAACGAAAGUUGAAGGUCUCCACAAUAGGAGUAAGAUGAUAAAAAGACAAACGAAAACCGACGUCGAAUAAAGAAACUAUGAAUUUUUAACGGACUUUAGCAGUCCCAGCCUAUUAAAAACAUAGCAUUAAAAAUAAAUUCUAAACUAGCCAACGUAGUCUAAAUGAAAGUUGUAGAGCAUAAACUCGCCUACGCGUGGAUAUAAAGAAUGCGAGAAACGAAGCCCGCACGCAAAAGUUACGGAAUUUAGAAGAUGGAAGCUAGGAUUACGCCCAGCGUACUCAGGUGCAGGGUCGAGUCCCAUCGGCUGUAGCUCUACGCCUAGCUAGCCUCGAGUCGUAAGCCAUGACGCAAAGUUACGCCCAGUGUAACCGAAGUACGCCCAGCGUAACGCGUACGCCCAGCGUACUCCGGUGGUACGCCCAGCGUAGUCGCACCUUCAGCCCUAUAAAUAGAAGGCAUAAGCCCCAGAUUUUAGCACACAUUUCCCACACAUUCACUUACUCUCACACACUUUCAAACACCAGAGGCCGUCCCGACACCCUCGAUUUCCGCACCCGAGCCCCCGACGAAGGUUCUACGCUACCGAGAUCCCCGAGAAGCUCGAAGAUGCAGCUUUCCGCGGUUGAAGUUCUGCUCGACUCUAGUCCCACUCUCUUCAAACCAAACAAGUGAGUUCAUACCCCUACUUUACAAGUCUUUUCAUGUUUUAGGGGGGAUACAAGUAUAAUACAAGAAAACGUAUCGUUUUAUAUAAACUUAAAUGCAACAACUAUCUUUACGUAUAAAGUUAGUAUAUCACCAAGUUAUUUUCCCCAAAUGGAACAUACUUUCUGAAAAACUAUAAUGGGUAUAGUUUGCGAGUUAUUCAUACAUUCUUACGUAUACAUCAUGAAAAACGAAAUACUUUCAUCUAAAGUGAAACAAAGACCUUAUCGUAAAUCUAUUUAUACUAAGUAAUGUGAGAUAUUCAAACUUCAACGUACUCUUAUGUAUGCAUUUCCAGUCCUGUAUUAUAAGCCAUAAUCUCUUGAAGGGAGAGCGUGAUUCUUGUGUAUAGAUCUAUACGGGAUUGACAACCCCGCACCUAAACUGUUAGAUACAGUUAGACCGACAGGUCUGGGGUGACGAAUGUCAUAACACUACAACACCUGAAGAAUGUUGUUACAGGCAUUCUAUGUCAAUAGUAUGGUUAUAAGACUCAUACGAAAGUAUAAAAACAAGCUUGAUUUACGAGAUUUAUACAUGCAUUCAGUAUUUACAUUAUUUUGAGUACAAACUUAUCUUUAUCAUUCAAUUACGAAAGAUACUAACGCCCUCCAACUUUGGGAACUUUUCAAACUAUAUAUGGAAAAUAUUGGAUUUUCUAAAAAUCACGUUCAUCGAUUUUCUACCAAAAAGACAUACUUUUCAAUACAAAACACUUAUGAACUCACCAACUUUAUUGUUGACACUUUUUCGAAACCACUUGUAUUUCUCAGGGAAUCGGUAAUACAGGUAACUACUAGCUUUUGAAGAAGGAACGCUAAGGACGUUUAUUAUUAAACAUUUUACAUCAUCAUAUUGUAAUAUUCUUUUGGAAACAUGUAUAACGCAACAAUGUACGUUUUUAUUAUAUAUAUAUGAUGGUUGUGUUACUUUCUUUACAAUAUUCAAUUGUUAUGGUACCACGUGAAGUCAUCCACCCCUGAAUGUUUCCGCCAUUCUGGUUUGGGGGUGUGACAGCGUACUUCGGCUACGCUGGGCGUAAGUAUGUGUCAUGGCUUACGACUCGGGUCUACCUAAGCGUAGAGCCUGCUAGCCGAUGCGACUCGACACUGCGACUGAGUACGCUGGGCGUACUCUUGAAUUACGUUGGGUGUGAUUUAGGCUUCAAUUUUCUAAACUCCGUAACUUUUGCGUAUGGGCUCCAUUUUUCGCGUUCUUUAUAUCCACGCGUAGGUGAGACUAUGCUCUACAACUUUCAUUUAGACUCCGUCGGCUAGUUUUGACUUUAUAUUUAAUAUUAUGUUUUUAGUAGGUCGGGACUGCUAAAGUCCGUUAAAAAUUCAUAACUUCUUUAUCCGAUGUCUGAUUUCGUCUGUCUUUUCACCAUCUUACUCCUGUUGUGGAGACCUUCAAUUCUCGUUUAGGUUACGUUAGCUAAAAACUAUUUGAUCUUUAAUUCGAGUUUUUAGCUCUCUACUACUGUUACGAAACUUAGAAAAUUCGUAACUUCUUCAUACGAGGUCCAAUUUGGGAAAUAUUUUUAUGCACGUUCACGGUUUAAUGUAAUCUACGACUUUUGUUUAGAUACCUAAGGCUAAAAUGCAUUUUAUUGGAAUAUCACUUUUUAUGUUUAAUAAUGUUUUACCGGGUGUGUCGUGAAUAUUUGAGUGGUCAUAAUCUUUUCAUUAUAACUUGGUUUUGAACGUUCGUUAUGUUUUUGGAAACCUUGGCACGAUAUCUAACAUUUGAUGCAUCCCAAAUUUAGAUUUUUGAAUACUUUAUUUUUGAGGUUAAUUCCGUUGAUUCCAAAUAGUUCGUUGUAUUUGACUUUUGAGUGUUACAUUGGUUUGGAAAAAUACAGGGUUGUCACAUCCUCUGUGACCUUCUUAAACUCCAAGCCUUCUUCUAACAAUUGCUUCAAAACACUCUUUCCCUCCUUCACACACUCAAAAUGGGGGUUUGGAUCUAUUAGGGCUGCUUCUAGACAUCAAGGGUUGAGGUAAGGACUUAAGGUCCUUUAAAUAGGGUGCAAACCCUAAAAUUAGGGUUUUCUCUUCCCAACACCAACUUGUCGAGUCCAGUCGCCGACUCGGCGAGUUGGUCACUUAACACGUGGCCAACACCCGCUCCGACUCGACGAGUAGGCAUACCUACUUGCCGAGUAGACUCCUUAAUUUACAUAUAAGCCCCUAAAAUAUACUUCUGAAGUUUGGGAUAUUACAUUUACCCCCAAUAUGAUUACAUAACUACCCGGGUUUAACCACGAUGUUCAACUCCCCUAAAGACUUUUAUUGUUUCUUAUUGUGACAAUACACUACUAUACACACAUAGGUUUGUAUUUUAUUUUUCUUAAGAGUAUUUUAGUCCCAAUGUAUUUAUAGUUGCAUAUCUUGUAUUAUUCGAUAUGCCGGUUCACUAUAAACAUUCUUGUGAUACCAAUCUGUCACACCCCCGAACCAGACGGUAGAAACGUCCAUGGGCGGGUGACUUCAUCAAUUAAUAUCAUCACAAUAUAUAUAAAUGAAUCAAAGACAACAUCAUCACCAUACAUACAAUAUAUCAACCAUCAUAGUUUUACAUCAUUGUAUUUGUUUAUAAUAUUACAUCCAAAACAUCUUGUAUGGUGAGAAACAAAAAUACGGCAUAAAUCUUCACUCCUUAUCGACCCACCUGUUUUAACGUGUUCCUGAGAAUACAUGUCAUUUUGAAAAGUAUCAACAUAUAAAAUGGUGGUGAGUUCAUAAGUAUGUUUGUAUAAAUAGUUUUGUAUUAGUUUGUAAACACCAGAAAAUCCGAUAUUUUCUGUAAAAGUAACUUGAGAGUUUUUUUUUUCAAAUCUUGUAUUAUAGUGUGUGAUUUUGUCUAAUAAUGUAUAAAAAGCGUUUUUCAAAAAAUCCUAUAUUUUCUGUCUAAUGAAAAAGUGUGGUCUUAACCCUAAGACCAGAGUGGUGAAAGUUUUAAACAUGAAUAAUAAAUGUAUAGUUCGUACUUUGUAUCAUGAGUAUAGUAUGUGCAUUCCGUAAAUUUAUUUGUUUGUUAUUCUCUAUGUGAGUCGCUAUAACCAUACUUGAUAUAACUGAUAUGCCUGUCAUGACGUUCUUCAGGCGUCGUUUCCGAUAAGACAUUUGUCACCCUAGACUGACCUAUCUAGUUGUAGCGAGCAGCUCAGGUGUAGGGUGUCAUCCCCAUAUAGAUCUAUACACAAAUUCUCGAUAUCCCUCUAGGAGACUCUAGUUAUAACUAUAAGGAUUACGAUGUGUGCUAGGUAGGUACAAAUGAAGGAGUGUCUCACAAGAGCCUUAAAUAAUCUACGUGAAUAGUGUAUCUCAUUGCUUAACACUAAAAAAAUGUUUCAAGUAUGUAUAUUUUUUUACAAAUCGUCGGUGAUAAGAAUAUAGUUGUUCAUGUCAAAAUGUCAAAUAUUUAUUGAUAUCGACCCAAUUUUUAUAGAAAGCGUCGUAUAUGCCCAAUAAGAUAACAAAUGGGCAUUUAAGGCCCAAUUAGGAUAGAAUUGCCAAACAUGGCCCAAUAUGCAUGUAAUUGGGUAUGUAAGGCCCAACAUGCGUGUAAAAAUGUCGUAAAUAGUCCGUUUGUUAUCAAAAUGAUCAUUUUAGCUCAAAUAGUAUCAAAUGCCAUAUAAGGCCCAAUUUUGUUAAAAAUGACAUUUUUGGCCCAUUAAAGCCGAAAAUUUACAAUAAAGGCCCAUUUUCAUGAAAAAUGACUUUUUUGGCCCAAUAAAAGUAUGUUUUGUCAAUAAAGCCCAAUUUUAUGAAAAAUGACCAUUUUUAGCCAAUGAAACCAUGAAUUUGCAAAUAAGGCCCAUUUUUAUGAAAAAUGACCAUUAGCCCAUGAAACCGUGAAUUUCCUAAUAAGGCCCAUUUUGGUGAAAAAUGGAUCAUUUUGGUCCAUUAAAACUGAGAAGGCCCAAAAAAGAAGCCCAUUUUGUCAAAAAUGACACUUUUGACCCCCAUAAAACCGUGAAUGUCAUAGAAACCCAUUUUAUAAAAAAAAUGUCCCUUUUAGCCCCUUUAAGGCCGUGAGUAUCAUAAAGGACUCACUUUUGCUCAUUUGUCAAAUAUGGACCCUCUUUAGGUUUUCUUUAGUUUUUUAGUAGCUUUUAACAUGUUUUCUCUUUUCAAACAUCACAAUGAGAUGCAUUAAGUAAUUUAUUUCCUUAUCACUUCAUAACUUGGAAGUUUGUUCGAGUUUCAUAAAAGUUUAACAUGGUUUCAUAACUUAUUCACACACCUAUCAUGAAAAUACACACAAGCAUGCCUAAAUACCAAGAUUAAACACAAAACUAGCUUGUAUUCUCCCCCAAAAGAUAGUAAUCACGAAAAAAGGAGGGGUAUGAAGCUCACCUUGGUGUUAGUUGGCUUUUAAAGGGAAGAAUAAGAUUUUUGGUCUUGAAUGCUCCUUUGAGGGGAUUUUUCAAAACUAAGAGAGUUCUAGGAUCAUAAACACGAAAAUAGUGUGAUUUUGAGGAAAAAUCUUAGUAUAAGAUGAAGUUUAACAUCUUGAAUGUGAAGUAACUUACCAAGUUUGCAAGCUUGAAGACCUCCUUGAGCUAACACACACACACACGGUUUUAGAGGAGGAAAAGAAGAGAGAGUUUUCCUUUAAGAGUGAAGAAGAAAUUAAGGGUGGUGAUGAUGUUCUUUGGCCGAGAGUUUAAGGAGGAAAGAGAGAAGAUAGGUUAAGGUCCUUGCUUAAUGAUUAGUUACUUAUUGGUCUAGAUAUUUGAUGGACAUAUUGCAUGGAUAUCCUCCAUGAAAAAAUUAGGUGUCACCAUUAGAUUUAAUACAACCUUUUUUUAACAUAUAUAGGACUGAGAACCCCUAAGCCCAAAGAGGUUUUCGGUGUUAAAGGCCCAUAAUAUUUAUGUCUCGGCCUAUUAGAUGAUCUAUGGAGGGUAUUGGCCUAAUAAUGCCCAUUAAGAGUGUCUUGCCCUUAAAAAAUGCUAAAUGGAGUGUUGGGCCCAUUAUGCCCCCAAGAGAGGUGUUCACGACCGUAUAAGGUCCAAUAAGGGUCGUAUGGAUCAAACAUUAUUGUUUAAUGAAUUUCGGCCCAAUUAAGGCCCAAAUAAAGAUUCUUUUCCCAAAAGAACCAAGUUGAGAGGUUACUAGCAGAAAGUUGAGUGAAUGUAUCGUAUUGAAUUAGGUUUACAGCUUUCACGAGGAAGCUUUGACUUGAAUUGUCGUUUGUAAAUGAAUAACUUGGAUAACAUCAUCCUUAGGGUUACAAGAUACAUCAGAAGUUAAUUACACAUAGAUAGAAUUUCCUAGCCCUAAAAUGCUAGUUGUGACAAAUUUCGAAGUUGGGUAAUUUCUACCAAGUCUUCAAAACAGCAAGGACAUAUUAGAAACUUCAUCCUUUUUCACAAACUUUCUACACCAAUGUCAAAUCUGGGUAUGAAUUGCCAUUUCUUAGAAACUUCAGGGCUGAGAUUCGAAAAUAAUUCUUUUCUUCUUCACUUCAAUUCACAGAUAACGAAUGGUGAAUUGGACCAAGAAAAGUCAAAAUUGAACACACAUCUCUAAACCUUUGCUAAUCGACAUCAUUAAGUGCUUGUUUUUCAACCCUUCGCUUUUCACUUAUCCCUUUGUUAAUGAACAGGGUUUGGUCAUCAAUAACAAAGCAUAUCAUGUUCCUCGAUAACGAACCACCGACCAUUGACCUCUCGUUAAUGAACUACCUAUACAACCUGUUCGUUAUCACAAAAGUGAAGUCUUCAAAAUCAAAUUUGUUAUAACCUUCGUCUUCGUUUUUCAUCUAUAAUACCUCGUCAAUGAACCAAUCGACUACAAAAUCGAAUUUCCAUCCAUCGAUAUCCUUCUGUCUUCCCUUUUAUAAGUGAGAGACCCUCGACCUAUAACUAUUCGACUGGUUACCCAUCGUCCUUCGCGUUCAUUACAGGGACCUUGUAAACGAACCAUGGAUGAUUCUUGAAAACGAAGUGUGAAUCCCCUGCCUUCAUUUUACAUGCCUUCAACCAUCAAUAUCAAUCCUAAAGUCCAACUUAUAUCUAUAGACAUUGAGUAAAACACAUUCGACCACCAUCCUUCGUCCUUCCCUUUUCAUGCAACCCAAAACAUCAAAACAUCAAUUCUUUUUGUCUUCCCAUCGACAUCGAUACUCAACAUACAAAUUUCAAUUCUCAAAUUCAAGUCAACUUUGACUUUCUUAUGUUGAAUUUGCUUUUAACCAUCUUCAUUCUACAGGCAACAACCCUUCGAUUGUACAACUCAAAACAUCAAACCAUUGACGCCAAACCAAAUUCGACCCUUCGAAAUUGAUUUUUUAAUCAUCAACAUCAAAAUCAAUUAGCCUUCCCCCUUCAAAAUCAACAUUCAAUUCUUCGUUAUUAGCUUACCAACAUUCGAUAUCAUCGUCCAAAGUUAUCAAUCGACAUAAAAUCUAAGCUGGAAUCAACCCUUCGUAAUUAGAUUAAGACUUUCUAACCAUUUGAAAUCGGCUCCUAAGCUUGAUUCCAAGUCUUCGAACUCAAUAAAUAGUCAUCAACAUUAAACCCAAAAUCCAACAGGUGACAAUUUAUAUCGAUCCAAAAACAAAUAACCCUCAAAAUCGAUAUUGUAACGCCCGCAGAUUCUGGCUAGUCAAUUUAGAGACAAUAAGCGUCAAAAAAUGAGUUUUUGAUCGAAUAUUAUUUAGAAUUAAUAAUAUUAACAAAUUUAUAGUAUAUGUCAAAAAGGUUUCGUAGAGAUAAGGAACGUAGGAAUCCGAGUUAUAACGAAGAAGUUAUGACCCGUCGAAGUUUUACGGCUAAACCGGCACGACACCGCGUAACGUAAAAUAUGAAUUUUUGAUAAAUUAAUUUUUAGCAUUAGAGAUCUAAAUAAUGGUUGUAUUAUAUGUUAAACUAACAGCGUGCAUAAAAAGAACGUCAGAAUCUAACUGCAUAUAAGGAAGUUAUGAUUUUUCUAAGAUUUAGUAUAGCAGUGAACAACCCGGAAUUUGAAUAUUAGAUCGAUCGAUUUUUAGCCAAAAAAACCUAAAUGAGAAUUGAGGAUCUAAUUAAUAGGAGUACACCGAUAAAAAUACAGUCAAAAACAGAGUCCGUAUGUAAAAAUUAUGAAUUUUACACGGUCGUUAACAGUUUAAUCUUCUCAUAUUGUUAAAUUUAAAAUCGAUCAUGAAUUAGCCGAUGGAGUCAAAAGUAAAGUUGUAGAUCUUGUUAAUACCUAUGCGUGGAUAAAAAGAACGUCAAAAAUGGAUCUCAUAUGUGAAAGUUACGGAAUUUAGAAUUCAUAAAGGUGGUGUUGCGAAGGAGGUGACAUGACGCGAUCUGAGCCAUUGCUUUCUCCCCAACCCUUGCCACCAGAUGGUGACAUGUAGCAUCCAACUCGAUGUGUUGGAGGCCCUAACUCGAUGAGUUGAUUUGUAUUUCAGCCUAUAAAUAGCAUGCGAAGGUCUCCAUAAUUUUCACACAAAAACCUACUUCUCUCUCUCUCUCUCUCUCUCUCUCUAACUUCUCUCUAAGCCUCCGAAAACCCUCCCCAAGCCCUAGUAACUUCUAAGUGCUAGAGGAAAGCCCGGAGCACCCGAAGGCUCAAAGAAAAAGAGCUUUCCAACUCAAAAGUUUUGCCGCUGUAGAGCCCGACUCCUAGAGAAACCCCCUUGUAAGUGAGUUAUGCUUACCCUAAUUUAAGUAUAACUUAUGUUUAAGUUCAUUAUUGUUAUUACGAACCUAUAAACAAGAUUUAUCAGUAAUUCAAAGUCAUUAUAUUGAUUGAACUACUUAUGGGAGAGAUGUCUAGAAUGGUCACGUUGGGUUUGGUUGUUGUAUUUCAGAAAAGCUAAACGCCGAAAUGGCCCUGCCUCCCAACUGUCCUGCCUGGCUGAUCCUUACAUGAUAGAUCAUGACGUAGACUCUGAGUUAAUGAUGAAUCUAGAAUAAUAAUAGUCGCAAUAAAUAUUAAACUAAAUUCUAGUAAUAAUGAUACUAGGUUUCGAUGAAGGAAAAAAAAUUGUUAGAAGUGAAGCACUGUCCGAGUUUGGAAUCAUCUUUUUAACAAGUGAGUGCAUAGUUAUGUGUUAUGUGUGCAUAUUAUCUGAAGUAUUUAAUAUAAAUUACGUGUUUUAUUCGAGUUUGGAAUCAUCAUUUCAUCUUACACAUAUAUAUGAAGCAUUUAAUAUAAAUUACGUGCUAUGUGUGCAUAUUAUAUGUGUUCUUGAUAUGAAGUAUUUAAUAUAAAUUACGUGCUAUGAGUUUGGAUUUGUCACUAACCUUGUCUUGCGAUUAUGCUUUUGAAAAAUUCACAUUGAUAGGAACACAUACACCAUAAAAUCUAAGUGUCAAAAGGUUUUUCUCCGAUUCAUGAAAAUGAUGGUGAGGAAGUGUUUUCACUAAGUGAUUUUAGGUAGAUAGCAAUUGUGAUAUUUGCAUUCUCAAAGUCGUUAGUGGAGCGUGUGUGGUUAACCGGAACACUAACAUGGACUUGUGAGGAAUGGAAAAGGUCUAAACAAUUGAGACUAUGAUUAUGACAUCCCUUUUCAUAGUUUUGAAAUUGUUUAGACACACAUGUGUGCUAUCUAUGGAAAGGUGUAUGAUUUUGAUAAAGUUUUUAUCAAAGCAUCUCCUAUCAGAAGUCUGAACUUUGGUAAGAAAGUCAAUAAAGUAUUGAUUUCUAGAAGUCCAACUGAUUGCUGAGUACAUGUCAAAGCUAGUGGGAGCAUAAGUGUUAUGCUGAUAAUUCUCAUAUUAGUGGGAGCAUGAUAAUUAUGAUAAGUGUUGCAAAUUAGCAAUGUUAGUUAUAGAAAAUAAAAAGUUUCAAUUUGGAAAAGUUGUUUUGCUAUAAUUAAGGGAGAGGAAAUUGUACUUCAUUUCAAUUCUAAGAGCUUAGAUUGAGGUUUUAAUCAUCUUUAGUCAAGGAUAUAUAUCUAUAUAUNNNNNNNNNNNNNNNNNNNNNNNNNNNNNNNNNNNNNNNNNNNNNNNNNNNNNNNNNNNAGGGAGAGGAAAUUAUACUUCAUUUCAAUUCUAAAGCUUAGAUUGAGAUUUUAAUCAUCUUUAGUCAAGAAUAUAUAUAUAUGAAUUUUAUGUUGGAAUAGCUCAACAUAAGGAAAUUCUAUAUAUGGGUCCAUUAUUUGCAUUCUAAAAUUCGAUUAUGAUUACGGCAUCCCUUUUCAUAAUCUGAAUUAUAGGAACUUGGCAAAUAGAUAUAGAAAUAUUAUAGCAAAAAGACUGGUCUAUUAUCAUGUCUUUAUGUGAGACAUCAUGAAUCGUGUCCCAUAUGUUUCGGAUAUAGGAUCGAUUGCAUGUGCUAUAAUAUUUAUCCUUUCUAAAUUUUUUCCAAAAUGCCUAGUGGCAUUAAGAGGGGAAAAAAGGUCUAGAAUUGGCUAUAACUAAAAUGAUUAAGCAAUUGUCGAGGACAAUUUAAGGUUUACCAAAGAUUGGUUGCUUAAGGACAGUUAGAAGUAUGGUGUUAAUUUUGGAAGGACCAUAUUGACAUACUCUGAAAGGAGGCAACUUUUGUUCAGAAGUGAUAGUCAAAAUGGGAAUAUGGAAAUGACUCCAUAGGUGGAAGUUAUUCAGUCUGUGUAAGAUUAAAAAACUUAAUGCAAGAAGGAUGUUCAAAGCAAUGUACUUUGAAUAUGAGACUUCGUUUCCAUGGAGUUUAUCUCCAUUGGUAUACUCUGUAAUGUCUGUUGACAAGUCUUUGUGACUUUGUGCAUAAUCAUUACAGAGGAUUAGUGCAUAUAAGUUUAAAAUCUAACAAAUUUCAGUAAAUGGCAAGAAUUUGGAAUUAUUGUAUUUGCAGUAAGGAUUUGGGAUUGUGAAAUGAGAAUCAUUGGAAUUAUGUUCAAUCGAUUUAUUUCACAAAGUAAAGAUCAUAGACAAACUUAGUGUGCAUACUUGGUGUAUGGCAUAACUAAUGUUUCGAAAAACAUAGUGUGCAUACUUGGUGUAUGGCAUGACUAGUGUUUAGAAAACGUAGUGUAUAUGCUUGGAGCAUGGGACAACUAUUGUUUUAAUUCAAGUUUAAAGUUGAUAAUUUGAAACAGUAUUCAAUGAAUAAUGUGUAAUCAAUAUGGUGAUAAAUAAAAGGUGUUUUAUUUAUAUUCAUAAGUUCUGAGACCAUAUUGGAUUCGAUUAUUCUUGUGUUUCACUUUGCAUUUUUUGACUUCCAGAAUAAUUAUGUUAUGGUAUUUCAUAUUAUUCAAAUUCUCCAUAGUCGGUCAUAUGUUGGAAGUAGAUAUGAAUCAAGACUGUCAUGAGUUAGCUUGUAGAUGUCUAAGAUGUUGGACAUAGCAAGAGUUGCUACAACACUCAUGGGUGCUCAUAAGUUCUGAGUAUUGGAUUCAACCCACGCUCACUUGUAUCAAUUCAUGGAAUUUAUCUCGAGUGAUCGUGAGAAAGUAAUAUCAUAUAAGUCUUCAAACCUAGAGAUAUGAGUUAUUGCCUAUGAGUUGGUUAUACAUUGAUUGUACAAAAAAACUCAUUGGCAACUCGAUGUUAUAAAACGUGCCUUUGUGUAUGAUUUAACAAGUAGUAGAACAAGCAUAUGAGUCGAAGUUUAUAUGUUCCUUCUUGGUUUAGAAGCGAUAUCUAGGCCCCUCGAUGAUUUUGUUGUGACCUAUGUACCGGGCCCGGUCAGAACUAAAUUGAUGUGUUCAAUUAAGUCCUAUGUCAAACAAAUCGGAAAUCGAGAAACAAACUGCUGGACAAUAAGUAAGACACUGUUCCAUGUAUUUUUCUGGCUGAUAUCUAGAACAGAGGAUUAUAUGAUUCCUUGUCUAAAAUGUGCUUCAUAGUUCAACAGAGUUUUAAGAGCUACGAUUGUCGGUCGGUUCCUGAAUUCAUAAUUGAAACUAUAGUUAUUAGACUUAUCCAAGUGGGAGACUGUUGGCUAAGGUGUCUAAGUCCAUAACUAUAUUUGAGAUGUACUUCACCCGACCCGACAUGGUCCAUUUGGGUUGCCCUUCACCCGAACAAUUUAUAUGGAUAAUCUUUUGAGAAUAGUAUAAGUUAUGAUUUAUUAAUAUAUUAUAAGUUCUAAUAUAUUAAUAUGAAAUCAUAUUAUUUAAUUAGUAUUGAUCUAUAAUUAAUCUAGGAUUAAUUUAGAGAUCAAAAGUAUUACUAAUUAAAUAUGGGCUCUUAUAUUUAUAUAGUGUGGGCUAAUGCUUAUUUGGAAUGGGCUAGGCUUGCAUGGAAAGUCCAUGGAUACUCCAUGGAGCUUUAACCCAUGGAUCUCAUGGAAAUGAAGAGACAUGGGUAUUAGGGUUUACAUGGAUGUAACCCUAAUCCACCACACUAUAUAAAGGAAUCCUUGGCACUUGAAAUUGCACUAGUUUUUCUGUGCGAACUAAGGGUGGUGAUUUCUAGAAGUGUUCUACCAUUCUCUCAAGUUUCCAAGGGUUGUGGUGAUUUGUAACUUCCAUUUGAGGCAUCCACAUUAUUAGUGCUAAGCUCUCAAACUCCAAGCAAUCAACCACUACUAAAAGGUAUGUAACUCUACUAGCUUAUUAAGUUUCAAAGUUCCCCAUGCCAUGCUAGUUAGGUUAAGAACCUUGGAAAANAUUUGCAUGCUCUUAGUAAAACAUAGAUCCAAGGUUUCUAGGGUUACAUGUACACCAUAGGAGUGUUAGAAUGCUCAAAACCCUUCAGUUUAAACAAGAAGUGGGGAUCAAUUGGGCAGGAAGAUAAAGACGUUGUGAUCCGAUCGAGUAGGAGAGUAUCUUAAUAUCGAGUUCCAUGACUAUCUUAAGGAAUGUGGAAUUGUUUCACAAUUGAAGCCACCAAGGAAACCAUAGCUUAAUGGUGUGGCUGAGAGGUGUAAUAGAACCUUGCUUGACAUGUUUCGUUCCAUGAUGAGUCGAGCUUCAUUACCUAUCUCAUUUUGGGCUAUGCCUUAGAGACUGCCGCCCAUAUCCUUAAUCUAAUCCCUACCAAAAAGGUUUCCAAAACACCUCACAAGAUGUGGAUAGGGAAGGUUCCCUUGUUAGACCACAUCAAAGUUUGGGGUUGCGAGGCUUUCGUGAGACGCGAGACUCACGACACACUCGAACCUCAGAGUGAGCGAUGUGUUUUCAUCGGCUACCCACAAAAGUCCGUUGGAUAUCUCUUUUAUAGACCGAGUGACAAUGUUGUCUUCAUCGCAAGGAGAGAAGUCUUUUGUGAGUGAGAACUCAUAUGCCAAUGGGACAGUGGGAGGCAAAUUGACCUUGAAGAGCUUCAAGAGUCAAGCGGUGAAGGAACCUCAAACACUAACAAUCAACCUGAGGAGGAAACUACGGUUGAGCCAAUUGACGAAUUCGUAUGACAAUCAAGUUUGGAACUUGGUUGACAAUGUACCAGGCCGUAAGACAGUCGAGUGCAAAUGGAUCUUCAAGAAGAUGACUGACAUGGAUAGGAAAGUACACACAUAUAAAGCACGACUGGUUGCGAAGGGCUUUACUCAAACUCCGGGAGUUGACUAUGAUGAGACCUUCUCACCAGUAGCGAAGAUUAAAUAUAUAAGGGUUAUGUUGGACAUAGCUGCAUUUCAUGAUUAUGAAAUAUGUCAAAUGGAUGUCAAAACCACUUUCCUUAAUGGAAAGUUGGCAGAAGAUGUUUACAUGAGUCCACCGAAAGGUUUUUGUCAAUGCAAAGUACCCUAAUAGAGUGUGUAAGCUUGAGAAAUCCAUUUAUGGAUUGAAACACGCAUCUCGCAGAUGGAAUCUUUGCUUUUAUGAGAAAGUCAAAGAGUUUGGAUUUUCGAGAAGCGAGGAUGAGUCCUGUGUAUAUGUCAAAGCUAGUGGGUGUAUAGUGAGCUUUCUGGUAUUGUAGGAGGUUAAGUCUUGGCUUGGGAAGUGUUUUGCUAUGAAGGACCUUGGCGCAACUGCUUACAUCCCAGGGAUAAGGAUAUUGAGAAACAGGAGUAAAAGACUAAUAGGGGUCCAAUAAAGGUGAGCUACCUAUCCAAAGCAAUACUAAACUAAGUAAGACUCAGAGUCUGAGUACAGAGGCAGAGCUAGUGUAACGCCCGUAGAUCCGAGCUAGUCAAUUUAGAGUUAAUAGGGUCGAAAACAACUUUUCGACAAAUGAUUAUUUAGAAUAAAUAAUCUAAACCAAGUUGUAGAAUAUGUCUCGGGGGUUCCAUACAUAUAAAGAACGCUGAAAUCCAAGUUAUAACGAAGAAUUUAUGGCACGUCGAAGUUUUUCGGCAAAACCGGCACGACACCGGGAAACGUAAAUAGUGAAUUUAUGAUAAAAGACUUUGUAUGAGGAAGUUAUGAAUUUUCUAAGAUUUGGCAUAGUAGUGCACGACCCGAAACUCAAAUUUUAGUUGGAGCAGUUUUUGGCCUAUGCGACCUAAAUGAGAGUUAAAGAUCUCAUUAAUAGGAACUCAACGAAAAAAAUACACAAGAAAACGGAGUCUGUAUGUAGAAGUUAUGAAUUUUACACGGACAUUUAGCAGUAUAAUCUCCUCCUACUGUUAAAUUUAAGAUCAGUCGAGAAUUAGCCGACAAAGUCUAAAUGAAAGUUGUAGAUCUUGUUUUUACCUACGUGUGGAUAUAAAGAACGUCGAAAACGGAGCUCGUAUGCGAAAGCUACGGGGUUUAAAAGUCGACAGGGUGUUGUGCGAAAUCGAGUGACGUGGCUGAAUAUGGGCCAAUGCUUUCUCCCCAAGGCAAGCUACCUGGUGGUAACACCUGGCCAUGGACUCGACGAGUAGGACCCCCUACUCGACGAGUAGAGCAGGAUUCCAGCCUAUAAAUAGAGGUGUCGGGUUCCCUCAUUCUUCACACCAUUCCAACUUCUUCUCUCUCUCUCUCUCUCUCUAAACUCUCACUCUAGCCCCCAAACCCCUCCUAAAGUCUAGGUGAACCUUCUAGCACCCAAAGGAAGCCCCGAGGCUCCCGAAGCCCCAAGAAAAGAGCCUUUCAGCUCAGAAACUCUGCUCCGGCGGAGCCUGGUUUUCGAGAAAAACCCGUUGUAAGUGAGUUAUGCCAACCCUAUCUUUUAUGUAGCUUAUGUUUCAAUAUAGUAAUGUUAUUAGAACCUUAUAAUGAGUAUUUAGGCUAUUAUUAUGAGUUAUAUAAGUGUCGUAAUAAUUUCUUUUUAACCACUCGCAGUACGGGGAAUAUGGUUUAAAGGGCCGCUUGGGUUGCUGGAUUCAGAAGUGCUAUAUGCCGAAAUGAUCCUGCCCUCCGGUGUUUCAUGUCUGGCCCCUGUCUGUACAUAGUGAUUGACAAAUAUUGUUUCAUGCAUAUAUAAUAGUAAUAAUAGAAAGACUAUUAAUUAGUCACGGUGAAUAUUAGACUAAACUCUAUUGGUAAUGAUACCAGGUUUUGUCAAAGGAAAAUUAUGUUAAGAGUAAAGAAGUGUUGUCCGAGUGCUGAGUCACCACCUUUUCAAGUGAGUGCAUGGUCCCUUUUCAUCUUACACAUAGAUAUGAAGUAUUUUAUAUAAACUAUGUGCUGUGUGUGCAUAUUAUCUGUAUAAUUGCUAUCUAUGCUGGAUGAAUGAUGUUAUACAAGUUUUAUAUGAUUUAAACUGUAUAUGUAUUUAUAUCUACAUAAUAUGUUGGGUAAAACAUGGGUAGAUGAAAUAUGAGUUGGAUGAUGAGUUGAGAGGUGAUAUAGACCAUGUGGUAAGGGUGAGAGGUGGACAAUGUGAGAAGCCUUGUUCCCAAAUGUUGGCUCCGUCAUCUAGCAGAGUAUGGAUGACAAUCACGGACAAUUCUAGACAGUCCGGUGGAAUACUAGAAGGCUCGCAACCUGUAGGUGUUGUGAAUGAUGUGUUCAGCGGUGUACUCUAAAAACCCAUUGACAUGUAUUACGAGUGGACUAUCAAAAACGAUACUAUCAAUAAACGAGAUAACCCUAGCAACUGUUCCCAAAGGACAAUACCAACAGUUGCGCCUCAUUGAGAAUGUCACAAUUCUGGCAGCUGCGCCUAAGUGAUAAAACUAGCAGUUAUGCUUGACAAUUGUGUCAUUGACAACGAUGGACUUCGUACCCAUUCUUUAGGAUAAUCCUUGGGAAUGAAUGAAUGAGAAAUAGCUGAUUCUUAGGGUAGAUCGUUAAGAGUAAUGAAGAUAAUGGGGAUGGGUAAUUGGGUUAACUGUUUGAUGAUUAAACAUAAUAAUUAUAUUAUUAUGGGUUGAAAACCCUAUGCACUCACCAGGUUUCACAACCUGACCCACUCAGUUUAUUUAUAUCACAGGUGUUGAUAUGAAGUCACAUUACACUGAGAGAUUAAGGAGAUAUAAAUCACUAGUGNCUGUCUGUACAUAGUGAUUGACAAAUAUUGUUUCAUGCAUAUAUAAUAGUAAUAAUAGAAAGACUAUUAAUUAGUCACGGUGAAUAUUAGACUAAACUCUAUUGGUAAUGAUACCAGGUUUUGUCAAAGGAAAAUUAUGUUAAGAGUAAAGAAGUGUUGUCCGAGUGCUGAGUCACCACCUUUUCAAGUGAGUGCAUGGUCCCUUUUCAUCUUACACAUAGAUAUGAAGUAUUUUAUAUAAACUAUGUGCUGUGUGUGCAUAUUAUCUGUAUAAUUGCUAUCUAUGCUGGAUGAAUGAUGUUAUACAAGUUUUAUAUGAUUUAAACUGUAUAUGUAUUUAUAUCUACAUAAUAUGUUGGGUAAAACAUGGGUAGAUGAAAUAUGAGUUGGAUGAUGAGUUGAGAGGUGAUAUAGACCAUGUGGUAAGGGUGAGAGGUGGACAAUGUGAGAAGCCUUGUUCCCAAAUGUUGGCUCCGUCAUCUAGCAGAGUAUGGAUGACAAUCACGGACAAUUCUAGACAGUCCGGUGGAAUACUAGAAGGCUCGCAACCUGUAGGUGUUGUGAAUGAUGUGUUCAGCGGUGUACUCUAAAAACCCAUUGACAUGUAUUACGAGUGGACUAUCAAAAACGAUACUAUCAAUAAACGAGAUAACCCUAGCAACUGUUCCCAAAGGACAAUACCAACAGUUGCGCCUCAUUGAGAAUGUCACAAUUCUGGCAGCUGCGCCUAAGUGAUAAAACUAGCAGUUAUGCUUGACAAUUGUGUCAUUGACAACGAUGGACUUCGUACCCAUUCUUUAGGAUAAUCCUUGGGAAUGAAUGAAUGAGAAAUAGCUGAUUCUUAGGGUAGAUCGUUAAGAGUAAUGAAGAUAAUGGGGAUGGGUAAUUGGGUUAACUGUUUGAUGAUUAAACAUAAUAAUUAUAUUAUUAUGGGUUGAAAACCCUAUGCACUCACCAGGUUUCACAACCUGACCCACUCAGUUUAUUUAUAUCACAGGUGUUGAUAUGAAGUCACAUUACACUGAGAGAUUAAGGAGAUAUAAAUCACUAGUGAUAACGAAUUAUGCUUAUGUUUCUUUAUUGACGAUGACAUCCCAAUGUUUUAAAAUGAAUAAAAUACAUUUCUUCGUAAAUGCUUUGAUAAUGUAUUUAUCAUGUUUUUCUGGGAACAAAUUCCGCAACUAUUUUCUUUAAAAGGUUACUCUGAUUUUCAAAGUAAAGCAUAAACAAAUCGGUCUUUUCUGUCCAUGAAAACGGGAUGUCACAGAUAGCAGAGAUGAGUCGAAUGCCAUAUGCUUCUGCAGUUGGCUCGAUCAUGUAUGCUAUGACUUGUACUCGCCCUAAUGUGGCCUUUGCUUUGAUCAUGGUCAUCAAAUAUCAAGGGAAUCUAGGUAAAGGUCAUUGGAUUGCAGUUAAGAACAUUCUUAAGUACUUGCGGAGGACUAAGGACUGGGUCCUUACCCUCGGUGGGAGUGAUGACUUGAGAGUGACGGGGUAUAGUGAUGUCAGUUUUCAAACCGAUAGAGAUAAUUUCCGCUCUCAGUUGAGCUGGGUAUUUACCCUGAAUGGAGGAGCAGUGACAUGGAAAAGUUCCAAGUAGGAGACUGUAGCUGAUUCAACGUGCGAGUCAGAUUACAUAGCAGCAAGCGAAGCAUCGAAGCAGGCGAUAUGGUUGAAAAACUUCAUCGAAGACCUUGGAGUCAUACCAUCCAUACAGGAUCCUAUAGAGAUUUUCUGCGAUAAUGAAGGCGCGGUUGCCUUAACCAAGGAACCGAAAGAUCAUGGUAGAUCCAUGCAUAGUAGGGUUAAGCACCUGCAGCAUGCAAGGGGCAUUGGGCUAAUGGACGAUAUUAGUUUUAGUGGUUAGAUAAAUAGAAACUUAUAAUAGCUAAAUAGUAAUUAAUAUUUGAUGAUUAAAUAAAAGAAGUUUUAUUUAUAAGUAAAGUUACUGUCUUGUGUCAAUUAUAUACUAUUGUUUCACUUUGCGUGUUUUGACUUCCAGAAUAAUAAUAUUAUUCAAACCAUCCACAGUCGAUCAUACUUUGGAAGUAGGUAAUGAGGCUAGACUGUCAUGAGUUGGCUUGUAGAUUGUCUAAGGUGUUAGACAUAGCAAAAGUUUGCUACACCAUUCAUGAGUGCCCCUAAAAUAAGAUUUGAGUAUUGGAUUCAACCCGCGCUCACCUGAAUUACUUCAUGGAAUUUAUCUUGAGUAAUUGUGAGACGAUAAUAUCAUAUAAUCUUCAAACCAAGAUAUAUGAGUUAUUGACUACGAGUUGGUUGUGUAUUGAUGGCAUGAAAACGCAUCAGUAAAUUGAUGUUAUAAAACGUGUCGUUGUGCAUGAUUUGAUGAGUAGUUAGUACAAGCAUAUAAUGUCGAAGUUUAUAUGUUCCUUUUAUCCUAUGAGGAUUAAAAGCGAUAUCUUGGGCCCCUCGAUGAUUCUGUAAUGGCUAUGUGUCGGGCCCGAUCAGAACUAAAUUGAUGUGUUUAGUUAUGUUCUAUGUCAGACGAAUCAGAAAUCGGGAAACAAAUUGCAGGAAAAUAAGUAUAACUAUGUUCCAUGUAUUUGUCCGCAUAGAUAUCUUGAGAACAGAGGAGUAUAUGUUCCCUUAUCUGAAGGACGUGUCACUAACUAGGUCAGAGUUCGACAAAGGCUUUUGAAAGCUUACGAUUGUUAAGUCGGAUCCUGAAGUUGUUGGGUUUUGAGCAUUAUAACACUCCUAAGUAUACAUGAAACCCUAAAUACCUUGGAUCUAUGUUUUCUCUAUUAUACAUACAAAUAUGAACAUCCAAGGUAUUAUCCUAAUCUAGCAUAUAAAAUAAUGAAUAUAACAAGAUAGAAUACAUACCUCUCUCAUGUAGAAAGUCUUCAUGAAGCUUGAGUGCCAAGUGCCCCAAGUGUGACACCUCAAAUGGUUCACACAACACCAAAUACACUUGGAAUAACUUGAGAGAAUUCUACACUUCAUGAAAAUCGGCUAGCCCUCUCUAGAUCAUACUCUAGUGGCUGAUUUUGGUCAAGAAUAAGAUCUUUAUAUAGUGUUACAAUUAGGGUAAACCCUAAUUGUCAUGACUUUCCAUUUCCUUGGAUCCAUGGGUUCAAAUACACCAUGGAGCAUCCAUGGACCAUCCUAUGGGUUUUAGCCCAACUUGAUUAUCCAUGGAGCAUUAGCCCACUAUACAAGUAUGGAUGAUUUACACAAUCAACCCAUAUAUUUAAUUAGUCUUCUUUUGAUCACUUAAUUAAUCCUAGAUUAAUUCUUGAUCAAUACUAAUUAAAUAAUCUUAUUAUUCUUAUUAUUAAUAUACUAGAACUUAUAAUAUAUUAAUAACCAUAAGUGUCUUAUUUCUCUCAUUANCUUACGAUUUCUAAGUUGGAUCCUCAAGUCAAAUUGGCAAUUAUAGUUAUUAGACUUAUUCAAGUGGGAGACUGUUGGAUUUGGUGUCUAAGCCCAUAACUAUAACCGGGAUGUACUUGACCCGAUUGUAGCAUGGUCCUUUUGGGUUGCCUUCACCAGGGCAAUUUGAUAGGAUGGACUCUUGAGAAUAAGGUUAUUUAUGAUUUAUUAAUAUAUUAUAAGUCAAUUAUAUUAAUAUGAAAUUAUAUUAUUUAAUUAGUAUUGAUCAAGAAUUAAUUUGGAAUUAAUUUUGUGGUCAAAAGAGACUAAUUAAAUAUAUUGAGAUUGAUUAUGUAAAUCAAUGAUUCUUAUAGUGUGGGCUAAUGAUCCAUGAUAAUUUAGAUGGGCUAAACCAAUGAGAUAAUCCAUGGAUAGUCCAUGGUGGUUAAAACCAUGGAGCAUAAGAAUGUGAAAGGUCAUGGAGCAUUAAGGUUUGCAUGAAUGUAACACUAUCUUAGCAACACUAUAAAAGCACAUCCCUAGAACCAAAAUUGGUUACACCAUCAUUCUAAGAAGUUUGAUAUUGAUUUUGAGCUAAGUAACUUAUUCUCUCAAGCCUCCUCUUGCAUAUUGGUUUUUGUGAACCAUUAGAGGCAUCACACUUGGGGUGCUCAAGCUUUCAAAGGUCAAGAACUACAAGUCCUUCUAAGAGGUAAGUCAUCUAACUAGUUGUAUUGUUCAUUGUUCAAUUGUAUGCUAGUUAGGGAGAAUGCUUUGGAAAAAUUGAAAAUGCAUGUAUAAUUAGAGAAAACAUACAUCCAAAGCACUUAGUGUUAUAGUGCUCAAAACCCAACAAAGAGUUAGUUUCUCUCAAGGAUGUUAACAGGAAAUGUUCAGGCUGUCGUUUCAUCGUUGGAUCAGAUUUAUGAGUAUUGGUCAACAUGGUUGAGGUUCGAGUGUCUGGAAGUUAGGCAUAGUUACAGAGUCUUCAGAUUAUGGAUAAGGAAGUUAGGUCUUCUCGAUCUGGUUUAGUUGUAAAGUGUUAGUGUUGCCUCUUUGUCGGGUCUCACGUUUCCAACCAAGGAUUAAGUUGGCUUUUGGGAUUGAAGGGAAGUGUCUGUUUUGAUCAAUUUCCCAGUGUUGUGAUGGUCAUGAAUUCGACAUUUGGGAAUUCCGCUAGGGUUUGUCUUAUUUGCUUGGUUUUAGAAAUCCUUAUGACUGUGGCGGAAGUUUCAAGCAUUCAGGGUGGGGUCGAUUGAAAAAACCAUAAGGGGUUCGGAGUGUGUUUUAAGAGUAAUUUGUAAGGACAAAUUUCGAGGAAAAAGUCUAAUUUAUGCAGGGGAGAUUUGUAAUACCCUUUUUCUAGAAUGGUUUAGCCAAAGAGUUAACAAGAUCAAAGAUGGUGUUUUUGUAGAAAACCCUAAGCCGCAACGUAGUGCAAAGAUGAACACGACAUGGAAUGGGUUUUAUGGAAUACACAUUUUAGGAGAGCACCACAACAUGACAAGAAUGUUGCCAUGACAUGACGAGUGCUGGAGCCCAAGCUUAUGAUUUUUAGGGUUUCACCCAUAUUUUUAAAGGCCUUAACUCUAAGGUUAGCUCAUUUCCCUCGGCCUCCAUUCUCCUAUUUUGAAACCUUAGCCCCAUUUGAGUGUUCUUGAUGAGCUCUUUGAAUUCUUGAAGUUUGAAGCCUUGGUUUGUACUUUGUGAAGAAGAAGAAGAAGGCGUGCUUGCUAGUUAGAAGAGUGUAUCUACUUCAGAUCUUGCAUCUCCUGAAUCUCGUGGAGCUUGGGAAGGUAUAAAGCCUCCACAUGUAUCAUCCUUUUCCAUUAUUUCAUGCCAUGAAGUCCCUUGAUGGAGUGUUCUUUGAGUUUUGGUCAACUCCUGAACCUUAGGCUUGUUUGGUGACCAUUUUUUUGGUCAUAUGUGAUGGAAAAAGUAUUAAGUCUUUGUCCCCUUUGCUCUAUGAUCAAGUUGAGGUCUUAUUAAGGGUUUUAUGGACUUAGGAUUUUAUAUUUUGUCUUGUGGUGAGGUCCUAAUGGAUAAAGUUGGAAACUUUAUCCAUUAAGUCACUAAGAAGAACUAAAUAUGGAAGUUUGAGCUUUGGUAUGUAAGAAUUAAGCUCUUAAUGACAAAAUGGCUUCUGGCAAUAGCCACAACAUGGAGAAGAGGUCUCCAUGUUGUGGAAUAGGUUCAGUCUCACGACUGUUUUGUAUGGACAUUCCCACGACGUGGCCAAGAGGUUAUCAUGUCGUGGUGACAGUUGACCUGAUUGAUCGUUGAUUCCUGACCUGUUUGACUUGGGGCCAAAGUUAGAGGAUUUGGAUUGUUGAUUGAGGAUUUAUCUCCUUUGGUGUUAGUUUGUUUGAUUGAGCAUAAAUAUUUUUUGCCGAUAGCAAACCACAACUUUCGAAUCUGGUACCGCUGCUUUCAGAUAUGGAACCAACAUCUUUAGAUCUAGAACCAUCAGCUUCAGAUUUGGAACCAUCGCCUUCAGAUCUGCAACCAACACUUCUAGAUCUAGGGAUGAGAUUUAGAACCAGAAAACCGAACUGGAAUCGGAAUCGGACCGGAACCGGAACCGCUAGAACCAUAAUAUAUUGAACCAUUUCCGGUUCCGGGUUUAAAAAUUGGGUUUAUCCGGGUUCCGGGUAAUCUGGGUUUGCGUCCAUCGGUUCCAGGUAAACCAGGUCUAAAAACCGGAACCGUUGUUAGGAACCAGAACCACUUUUAGGGUCGGAACCGAUUUUUGUGAAACGUUUAAAAGAUGCAUAUCUCAUUCGUUUAAACUCCGAUUGACAUGUGGUUUUUUCUAAUGUGUAGCUUAGAGUUUGUACAUGAUUUUAAACAAUAAAUUUUUCAUUUUUAGUUUUAUAUUCAUUGACUUACAGUCCCCCAAAGUUGAGAUAUUAAAGCUGAAAGUUUAUGGUUUUUCAGUUUUUUUUUUUUUGUAUUCUGUGAAAGUUUUAAAACAUGCAUAUCUAAUUCAUUUGAAGUCGAAUUGAUAUGUGGAUUUUUCCAAAUUGUAUUUUAGAGUUUGUACAUGAUUUUUGGACUAUAAUUUUGUCAUUUCUGGUUUAAUAUUCAAUGAUUUAUAGUCCCCCGAAGUCGGGAUAUCAAAACUGAAAAUUUUCAACUUUUCAGCUAUUUGUUUUUGUAGUUUGUAUUAUGUGAAAAUGUUAACAGAUGCAUAUCUCAUUCGUUUAAAGUCGGAUUGACAUGCAAUUUUUUCCAGUGUGUAGUUUAAAGUUUGUACAUGAUUUUAGACUAUAAUUUUGUAAAUCUUGGUUUCAUAUUCAAUGAGUUACAGUCCCCUAAAGUCGGAAUAUCAAUAUGAAAAUUUUCAAAGUUCAACCCACUAAGUAGUAAGUAAUUGCCAAAAAAUUCCGGUUUUUUCUGGUUUUCCGGUUCUAAGCUCACUUUAUCCGGUUCCACCCUAUCCACUUUGAUGUCCGGGUCUUCCGGUUCAAGACCCACUUUACCCGGAACUGAACCGGAACCGGUUCCUAUAUACCGGUCCGGUUUCCGGUUCUACAAAAUCCCGUUAACCGGUUCUAGGUUUUCCGGGGCCGGGUCCAUUCGGUCCGGGUUUGGACCCACUUUCAUCCCUAUCUAGAUCUAUGAUUUUCCGUUGUCACUAUAUAAUAUGAUCAUAUAUGUUGUUUUUGAUGCGAUUUCCUUAGAUCUAAUACCGUCAUCAUCACCGUCGUCGACCGCUACAUGUCAACGAAUGUUGCCACUGGCCGUACAACUUCCCUCGGAAUGUCGAUUCAGAAACAUUUUUUGCUUUAGGAGUAGUUUUGUAAGAUGAUAAUUAUUAAUAAAAUUAAAACAAACCAAAUUAAUAUUACCGUUUUGGUGUAUUAAGAAUUAAAAUUUAUUUUUAUCUAUUUCAAUAUUUUAAUUUUUAGAAGUGUCUAACUCUUCUUAUAUCAAACUAUAUAUAAAAAAGUUAGCUUAUUGUGUGUAUUUUGUACAUGGUAGUUUUAUUCUAUCAAUGACAAGUAACAGUAACAAUUAGAAAGAUUAUAUGAUGUAAAAUGAUGAUGAAAAUAGUUCAAAACAAUUACUAUGUUUUUUCCCCUUAAAAUCACAUUUAAUAUUUUUCUUAAAAUUAAACACCUUUUCUUGAAAGAGAGUUAUCUUGAUGGAAAUUGCAAAAUGAAAGAAAUAAUACAUCACUUAGGCUUUGCUUGGCGUACUAGCUAAAAAGCUGGCUGAUAGCUGAAAAACUAGCUGUUAAAUAAAAAGCUAGCUGAUAGCUGAAAAGCUAACUGAUAAAAAAUGACGUUUGGUAAAACUAGCUGAAAAGCUAGCUGAAAUAUAUAAAAUUACAUAAAAGGACAUGUGAGAGUAUGUGUUUCUAUAAUUAAUUAAGGGGUAUAUUUGGAAAUUUUUAAAAAAGCUCCUAAAAAGCUAGUCUAAGUAGCUUUUCAAAAAGCUAGCUUAUAAGCUACUUUUUGGCUUACCAAACACGACAACAUAAAAAAGCUCAAAAAAUAAGCUAGCUUAUCAGCUAGCUGUAGCGCGCCAAACACAACCUAAAUGUGAGGUUCCACCAAAUCAUGAACAACCUUAUAUGAGAUUCCUUUCUUUUGGAAAGAUUUGGGUGUGGUCCAAUGGUUUGACAUGAAAAGCAUUAUCAUAUUUCUUUUUAUGUAUCUUCCUUUUUGUUAUAAAAUUGUAGUAAUUGAAAGUUAAGUAAUCAUAGAAUCUUACUUUAUUAAAAGUAAGUUCCCACCCAAUUUCCCUGUCUUUCUUUUAAUUUUUCACUCUUUAUAAAUUACCUCACAUAUUCACUACUCAAAAACAAGUUAGAAACUGUGUGUUUUAUAGAAGAGAAUCAGUAAUAAUAAGUAUAUGUGCCCCCGCCACCUUUCCAACGUUGAAAAUACAUAGAGCAAAUCGACAUGCUUUCUCAUUGUCACAAGUUGUAAAUCUAACUUGUAAGUAUGUAAAAGCACCUCAUAAUAUAAUUAUUUAUGAGUUAAUGUACACUAUGUUAAUGCCAUUAAAGUCUUUGAUUUUGUGUACGUUUAUUCUUACUAGGAAAAGGAAAAGCUUUUAUGAAAAAGAUUAUAAUAACAAGUAUAAAAUAUGAUAUGAAAUUGCAUUGCAUUGUAUUUUUUUUAAAAUUAUUUUAAUAGCUAGUCAAUAUAUUACAAAUUAUAUAAUGCCACUACACUAUAGACAUCGAAAGUGAAACAAUGAGAAACAUUUUCUGGACAACAUAACCUUAAUUUUUCAUUAGAAGUGUUAGAUAUUUUCAAAAUUAAAUAAAUUAUUAUGUAUAAAUACCCUUCUCUAUCUGAAAAAACCAUACAUUAUGUAUAAAUAAAUAUAUAUAUUUUUAAAAAACAUUUUCGACAUAAAAAGAAACGCUAAAAAGUAGAAUCUAUUCACGUGUUUGGUUCUACAAAGGGAAUUUAAUCCCCACUCAUCUGAGAUACACUGCACUUCAUCUUCAUCUGCUUUCCUUUCUCCCUCUUCAUCUACACUUCCUUUGCCGGCGAACAAUCUCUCUUCUGAAAGCCCACCAACUUAACUUCGCCACCGAUGCACCAAACGUCCUCAUCAGCAGCCUCUGUGGAAGCAUUUUAUAUGAAGAAUCAGUGUUGUCGAUAACUGUGUCCAGAUUGCAAUUGAUCAAACGCGUGGUGGACAAGGUUGCAGGAAGAACACAUGGGGAAAAAAAGGAGAUCCGGGUCUCCGCUCUCCGGUCACCACUCACAAGUAAGAUCGAUUAAUAUUUGGCCGGAAACCGACCGGUCUUGUUUAUAUUUCUAAUCAAUUUUCUUUCUUGCGUCAACUCAUGGUUAGGCCGUUCGAUGAUCAUGGUUGAACCUGUAUUUUUUUGUUAAUUUAUCUGUCCAUGACCUGUUGAUCAACAAUUAGGAAAAGAGUAUUAUAAUUUAGUCAUGGUUUUAUAUAUUAGUAGUAGAUCUUUAAAUUUGCAUUUCUUGUUGACUCUUUUGGAAAAAAUCAAGUAAAAACUUUUCUCUUAAUUGCUCUUAUAUCGAUUAUAUUUACUUUUUGUUGUAUGUAUGUCUACUAAUUACUAAUUGAUCACUAACUAUAUUAUAAAUUUUGAUGUACACAUUUUUUACAAUAAUCGAAGAGAGGAAUAAUUACUUAUUGAUCACUAACGAUUAGGUUUUAUUUGUAUUCUAUAGAUUAUAUAUCAAAUAUCUACUAAAUAAUACAAUAUACAAAGGUUUUCAUAAUAAUUUAACAGAGAGAUAAAAAGCUUUUCGUAUUUGGAAAUACCACUUUAAGCUUUUGUUUUCAAGAUAAAACGUCAUCAUCAUCCAUGUUUUUUUGUCAAAAGACCAUACUACCCUUCUUUUAAUAAAACCUUGUACUCCUUUUUAUCUUUUGUUGUAGAGAAACUCAUUUUAUUUUUUUACCAAAGACCACAUGAUUGACUUUGUUCCUAAAAAGAAAACAUCUUACUUUUUAAUUACUAAAUCUCGAUUGGUUUUAAUCUUCAGAGUUUUCAUCUUCUUAAGUUGCAUUAUUUCGAUUGUUGCAGCCUAAUCAUCAUCUUAAACUUAUUAUUAUUCUUUUGAUAUCCCACAAUUAGUGUUAACAUAUGGACAUAUGAUCAUGAUAUAUUGUGGUACAUGAAAUAUGUUGUCCAAAAAUUCACUAUAAUAGAAAAAUAAAAAAUUUAUUUUUGAAUAAUUUGAUAAGUAGUUUUAUAUAAUCAAUCUCCAAAUUUCAACAUAAAUAAUAAUAAUAAUAAAUAAUUAUUAUCGUUUCCAUGAUUUUGAAUGUAUGUUACAUAAAAGGAAGGAAAGGUGAACAUUUUUUUUUGUCUAUUUGUUGUUUAUAAAAAUAAAUGAUGUUAUUGCAUGAAAAGGAAAUAAUAGUUCACUUAAUUUCUUGUAAUAAAUAUAUUUUUUGUUACUUUUUCCAUUAAACACUUUCACAUUGUUGAAGUGACGAAGGAAGUUGUAAGGAAGGUUCCACAAAACUAGACUUGGCAAUCUAUGUCUGCGUGUCGUGUAUUCGUGUCACACAUGAAUUUACACGACAUGAAUUUGUUAAACACGAACACAACACGAAUUAUAAAACGUGUUUGGGGUAUCAAACACGAACACGACAUGUAAAAAAUUCGUGUGACACGUGACACCACACGAAUAGACACGUUUUUAAUGGCUUUUUUUUAAAGUUAGGGAUAUAAACUAAUUAUUGAGUUUUAUGAAAUUGUUCCCUAAUAUAUUAUAAAUAUAAAAUUUAACCCUAAUAUAUAUAUAUAUAUAUAUAUAUAUAUAUAUGUGUGUGUGUGUGUGAAUAUNAUAUAUAUGUGUGUGUGUGUGUGUGUGUAUCACAUGUCAACAUGAAUUUGUAUCGUGUCUAAACGUGUAAAUUUGUGUUUGACACGUGUAAGACACGAAACAUGAAUUUAAAAUGUGUCAGAUACGAAUAAACACGAAACAUGAAUUUCUAAAACACAUACACGAAAAACUCGUAUCGUGUUAAUCGUGUCAUGUAGCAAAUUGUCAGGUCUACACGAAACUUCAUGGUCAUCCUUUAUACUUUAUAUAAAGUCUAUUCCUCUAUAUAUUCACUAUCAUCAAGAACUAGACACCAUAUCCAAAACAAAUUAGAAGAGAAUCAAUGGCAUCUCCUAAUUUCCUAAUCUUCUAUCUCAUCUUGUAACUUUCUCUCUUUUUCUCUCUAGCUUUUACUCUUAUUGGCAUUUGAUAAAAUAUAAAUUUUGAAAAUUGAAUCACUUGUGAAGUUUCUUGGAGUUAAUCCUCAAAAUAAGAACUUACAAGUAGAGUGUGUGCAUGAAGCUUUCUUUACACAGAAGUUAACUUCGAUAACACGGCUAUGAAAUUACCAUAUAUUAAUCCAAAAUGUAGAUUACAUUUUAACAUACCCCUUAAUCUAGGCUUGAGUUACUUCUUCCUUUGUCCUCAAAUCUUGGAUGUUUAAUACUUUUAAUGAUUGUACGUUUGUUUUGUGAUUUCUUCAUGUGUACUCCUUUGCAACACAAGGUGAAAAACCUAUCAUAUACACCGUUCCAUUUGUUCUUUUGUUUAUCUUCUUUGAUUCUAUAUUUUUCUUUUUCACAAAUAUCUUCUCUUCCUUCUUUUAGUGUUUAAUUUCAACCAUCAUCCUUAUCCACCUGUUUAACAUUAACGAAAGAACGAAAGUAGCCACAUGUGACCAUUCCAUUGACACCCUAUAACCCUUCUUGAAAACUGGAUAAAGAUAAAAUAAAAUAAAAUAAAACUUUUUUCAUGCAUUGACUUUAAUCCUUCUUAGAACUCAUACAUCCCUUUCAGAAUAGAAAUCUGAUUCAUUUACUAUCGUUUGAUAUCAUGACGUUUCUUUCCUUCACUUUUGUAAGUACCCACGUGAUCAACCUUCUCUUCCCCUUUUCAAACAAUUUGUCUUCUUUUGAGUUAUUGUUGGUUCGUAUAUCACUCUUUAUUUAUUGAAAUCAAUAUCCAUUAAACCAUACCUUGAAGACCGUUCCUUUUCUUGACCAAAUAUUUUUGUAAGCUUGUAGAAUCAAUUCUCCAAAAUCCUUUCCUUAAUUCCUUAAGCUGGUCGGUGUGGUAAACGCCCACAUCGGCGUUUUUAGAUAAAAACAAAGAAACAGAGUUAAAUGAAGGUGGUGGUGGCAACGGGAAGCAACAACAGAUGUAUAACGUCCAAAAACGGUAAAGGGGGCGGUUUUUGUGUGUUAUAACGCCCACAGGGCGUUGCCCAUACCCAACAUCAUUAUCUUCACUUGGUUUUAUUUCAUCAUAGCUUUAGUGCAAAUAAAGCUUUGUCGUUAUUUGUUGUUACACUUUUCCCAUAUUCCUUAUUAAAAAUCUAUAUAUUAAUUUUGAGAUAGUUUUAUUAAUUUAAAAUGUAUUUUAUUUUUAGGAUAGUUUUGUUGAUUUUAGGACUUUAUCCGCUACAAGAAAAAACGAUUAUUAGCGGCGACAAAAAAUCAUCGCAAAGAGUUUGCUUAGUCACCGACAAAAGUAAUAACGGAGACAAGUCGUUGCUACUGUCCCUUGUUAUUGAUCAAAAUGUCGCCGCUAAAGCUUAUUGUCGCCAUUAGUAGAUCCAAAUGAGAUGUACUUCCAAUUAGUUUAAACCAAGAUAUACUUGUCGUGCUUCGCCACAUAUAUAGAUAUGGACAGAGAAAAAGGACGAAAGUUAUACUUAUCCUUAACAUAUGUGCGUGUGUGUGUGAACAUAAUGUUGAAAUGUAAAACUCAUUUAUCUAAAUAUUUGAUUUCCCUAGCAUUAUGUGUGCUCCUUCUAUCUCCCCCGACAUCUACCAAUUAUAUUAGUUAAUUAUCAUUUUAAACCAAAUAAGUAUUAGGCUAGCGGUAUCAAGAAUUGACUGAUAGGUGUUUAUCGGUAUCGGUAAAAAAAAAGUGAGGGUUCAAGCCUCGAGUUGGGAUGAUAUGUGUUGAUAUAAGAGUAGAACAGCGAGUGCAUGUGUAAACCGUUAAAAUAAUUAAUUUUCAUUUUAAUCUCAAUUUAUGUCAAUUAAUUAUUUAACGUUAUGUAUUUUAUUGACAUUUAUCUUCCUUUGUUUUUGGUCCUUACUAGUUUAAUGUCCAUGAGUCCAUCGCCAAUUCUUUACAACAACUUUAGACUUCAAAUACUACAAAAUGUCAUAUCUACUUUUAACUUUCAUAUAUCAUUUUUGACACUAACAGAGUGUUAAUGCUCUUUUUUAUUAUUCGAUAUAAUAAAUAUUUUUAUUAUUUAAUCAUAAUCUUUUUUCGUUAUUACUAUAUUGGUAUAUUUCCCACGGUACGUUUCAACUUUGCCGGUGGUGCUUCCAUGAAAUUUAGAUCUCAAUACUAAAUACUAUCUUGUAUACCAAAUCUCAACGGUAUGUUAUAUGAUAUAUGUUAAGUCCCCAUUUUGUAAGUUAGACAAGAUAAAAUAUAAUAGGUCGACUAUAUGUAUGAUUUGACGAGGAUUGGGACCUAUGCCAUUGUGACAUAAAAAGCCAAGAAAACUUGUCCAUUCUCGUGUAAUAAUUAUAACCUAAUGUUAUGCUAGAAGUACAAUAAACAAAAAGAAUAGAUGUAAUACAAACGAAAUUGAAUUAGAUGUAAUAUACAAGAAUCAAUUCAUAAGAAAAACGUACUUGAGUGUAGAUUACAACAUAUUACAAACUCGAAUUUGUGUAGAGAGUGAAGCAUGCGAAGUUGCAGUGUCCUAAGACAUGAAUUCUUCUAACAGGGAUCUAUCUAGAGGAUACAACAAUCUAAUCAAUAUAGGAUCUUGAUUUUGAUGAAAUUCAGUAACUUCCCUUCAUUAAUGUAGAAUCCGAAAAUAUAGGAAGAAUAUGUGAGUGUUUGUCUAAUCCUUAAAUGUGAUAUUUGAUGAUGUAUUUAUAGGUUUCAUAUUGGCAGUUAAUCAAUUCCAACCAACACACCCGUUCAAAACCAAAAUUAACUGCUAAUUAACUAUCUAAUAAUUACUUAACAAUUAACAUAUUUAAUAAUUAAAUAAAAUUCGGAAUUAAUACAUAAUAAUAUUAAUA